This is a long non-coding RNA of Bombus pascuorum, 1033 nucleotides long. RefSeq lists it as uncharacterized. The record is from RefSeq and is a predicted model, not a curated record. NCBI's taxonomy places the organism in Eukaryota, Metazoa, Arthropoda, Insecta, Hymenoptera, Apidae. The transcript is spliced from 3 exons.
CUUUUAAAUCAACGAUCUUGCAGUUAAUCGAGGAUCGAAGGUAGACGUGACGGGCCACGCGACCAAAUCUUUUCGGAGGAUCGGUCGGAUCGUCGAGUCGUGCGUCGAUCGAACUGGUCGGUGAAAGAGGAAAAAGAAAAAUACAGACCGCUACUGGUACGCGCGGUAAAUCCGUUAUCCUAAAGCCAAGGUCCACGAUACACUGUGUAUAUCCGAUCGGGAGCGUGCUGCUUGUUCGAAGUUCACGCGAACGUUGGCUAUUAUCCUGCCGCGGACAGUUCCUUUUCGUCGAAGGAUCACAAUAAUUUUCUACCGUACAACUUUGAGAACAUUUAAAUCGGCCGAACCCUCCGGAACACGUACGUGUAUCCGUAGCACUUACAUAUAUUUACAUCGAAUUAACCUCGGUCAACCUGAGUGGAAACAGGUUGCUUUCCCGUAAUAAUUAUUACACCACUCGAAUUAUAAUUAUUAAUUCCGUACACUGAUUCGAUCGUUCGUCUAAUUAAUUCCGUGCAUUAAUUGACCGCCAUGCUGACACGGAGACGCGUUCACAGAGAUCGAUUGCGUUCAAGCCAAAAAGGAUUACGAGAAGUAUCUUUAAAUUGCUCUUAGUCGUAUCAUUCGAAUUGAAUUAAAUAUACGUCUUGGAACUUUUUCACUCGUCUUUUUCCCCUAAGAAUCUUUCUGAUUAAUGUAGAUAUCAAUUAGGCGCGUGAAUUGAGCCCCGAGAUUGUAAAUUGUUAAAUUAGCUACUGGUUUUGUGUAGCCUAAUGCGAAUAAAUUAAUUAAUCUUAUAACUGUUACAGUAAUUAAUAAUAGUUUCAAAAUAAUUUCGUUUCGCUGGUUGACGAGAUAAAAUAUAUGUUUCCUGCAUGAUUACGAUAAUGAUUUAUCAAGCGAAAUAUGGUUUGUAUCUAUGUAUAGCCGCUUGUUUCGUUUUGUAAUAUAAAUGUAGCACAAGUACAAGUAUACUUACUACGUGCUGUAUGAGGUAUAUCGAUAUCGUUAGUAGUUGUUAGAUUGUGUACGU